UUUACAGGGAAAACUUGAGGUGUCUUACACUUUUAAUCCUCCGGUCAGUGAUUGCCUUGGGAGCAUAUUGUGGUGAAUUGGUGGAAUAAAAGGAAACUGUUCUCUCGGCCCUUGAUAUCUAGUUAAGUGUUUGAGUGACAGAAUGUUGGUGCCAGCAUUGGAAGAAUUGAUCAGCCUCAACUCCAGAUCUCUAUCCUGAGAGACAACAACAGGAUGUGCCUUGGAGAAGAGU
Chelonoidis abingdonii (Abingdon island giant tortoise) is the source of this 232-nucleotide non-coding RNA. The record is from RefSeq and is a predicted model, not a curated record. NCBI's taxonomy places the organism in Eukaryota, Metazoa, Chordata, Testudines, Testudinidae.